Long non-coding RNA from Gadus chalcogrammus (walleye pollock), 1153 nucleotides. RefSeq lists it as uncharacterized. The record is from RefSeq and is a predicted model, not a curated record. NCBI's taxonomy places the organism in Eukaryota, Metazoa, Chordata, Actinopteri, Gadiformes, Gadidae. The transcript has 3 exons.
GUUACAUCCACAACGUCUCCCCAAUCCAAACCAGCCAUGACAAUCUGCCAUAUUUCACAGCCACACUACAGCAAGAGGCAGACUAUCAUCCUGUGACCAUCUACGCACAUGAACAUGCUAAAAUAAACAACAUUCAAGUCAACAGAACCCUUGUACGAUUGCGCAAUCCUACAGUGAUCGAGUCUACUACGAAGCCGGCAGUACUGUCUGUGUUGGUGGAUUCCAACACGGACGUGGACGUCAUUGACAGCCUGUCGUUUCCACAUCAGCCAUAGCCGGUGACAGUUGACUGUGGACUAGAAACAUCAGGAGCAGAAGUCCAAAAUCCUUGGGCCCAAUAUCAGGUCCAAAUCCGUGUAAGGGCCUUUCACGAGGAGGGCCCGCAGCUUGUAAAGACUGAGGACCAGGACAUCGCUAUCAGUCCAUCAGUGGGGUCCGACACCACUGAAGGAGUCCACAUUACCACCUGGGAGGAUCUAAAGCUGGACCUGGGCCGCUGGUACGACCUCAACAACGUGUCGAUCCACGCCUACGAUUGUGCUCUUACUCUUUUGACGACCCACUCGACAAAAGCUGUGCCUGCAGAGAACCGAGCAAAGACACCGUUGGCUCCAGCAUUGGACGACCUAUAAAGGAGAGAUAAUCGGUGCCUUUGCAACAAUCACCCACACUUGUCCGCAACACCACACCCUCUUCAAGGUCAAUCCAGAGUUAAAAAAUGCUCUGUGCGCUCCCUGUGAAAUGCAUUAUAAAAACACCAAAUUGAGCAUAAAGUGUGAAGCCAUUAUAACGGUUGAACUUUCAGACAGUAGCAAAAAAGUGUGGAAAUUUGCCAAUGGCUGCCUUGCCAAAGUUGUGCCACCGAGGCUCUGGACGACCAAGGAAGACGUUAUCCAACACUUAUUGGAUUUGAACAUGGUCGAUUUCAAAGUUAGAAAUAAUGAAAUAAUAAGCUGCUCACCAUGUCCAAUUACCAGAGUCACAACAGCCCUCUAGCACUAUAUGGUCGGUUUUACAAAUGCAAGUCCUCUAUCCCGCUGCACUAGUUUGGGUUCUAUUGUGAGAACGGGAUUUCUUUUUCUUUUUUUUAUAUUUACAAUUAUUUGACCGAUGACAACAGAAAUACAAUCUGUGUUCAUUUUACUUUAAAUAA